Molecule: RNA transcript, 5953 nt
Organism: Mustela lutreola (European mink)
Lineage: Eukaryota; Metazoa; Chordata; Mammalia; Carnivora; Mustelidae
Exons: 4
Source: RefSeq, a predicted model, not a curated record
CUUGGGGUUUGACUGUCUAGUGACGGUGGCUACAGCGAGUCGGGUGGACGCGGGCUCUCGCAGCCUCUGACCGAGGCGGGCUCAAGUUCAGGGCUUGGGCGGGGAUGCAGGGGACUCAGGCACCCGGAAGGCUCGGAAACCGGGCCAGGUGUCUGGGGCUGAGAGCGCUGAGUGUGGGGUAUUUCCCCACUUGGGGUGCUCGCUAUUAUCCACCGGCACUUCGCCGCCUUGCGGGGCAGGAGGCUGUUCGCUCGGGUGUGUGCCCCCCCGCACUUCCGGGGGGCGGGAGCACCGCCCUUAAGGUGGUUCUGUUAAGUCCCCUGUGGGGGCGAGUGAAAGUGGGCUUAAGUUUAGGGGCGGUCUCGGGAGAGCGGGCCCCCCACGUUGAGGACGCUGCAAAGUUUGUCUCCUGGUCAAGUUCACGAGCGAUCGUCCGCGCUGCUGUUUGGCUGAGCCCAGAAGCCAAGUGAUUUGCAUUGCUCGAAACUCGGUGCUCAGCGAAGUCUGCGUUGCACCCCCACUGCACCUCCCAGACCAUGGGAGAAAGGGUGCGCGCGCUCAGUUUUGCCUUGAUGGGGAAGUUUUUCUAUAGGGGGUAGAAUUAGGGGGCAACUCAGCUUCCAGUUGUGAAUGCGCGUUUAGGGAAUCCGAAACUUGGGGAACCCCGGUGAUCGUCUGCUACCCGCCCCCGCACAACAUGCAACCAUAGUUCACAAACACACGCGCGCGCGCGCGCGCACACACACACACACACACACACACACACCACCUCCCGUCCUGAUUUGUUUACAGGAAAACAAGUCCGAGAGCGUCAGAUAACUCAGAAAAAAGUCACGCAGCGAGUCAGGGGUAGUGACCAGGAUUUAAGAUCUCUCCGCUCCGGGCCAGGUGGUGGGCCCAUAUCCUGGGUAGCCUCUAGGAAGCGCUAGACCCAUAUAAGUGGUUCCUUUUCUGCGGUUAUUUUCUCCUCCUCCUACCCCGCAGCCCUUAGGGACAAAAGUGUAUGGCGGAAGGAAUAUCCAAAUCGGGGAUCGUGGGUUCUCGCGUGCCCAGCGCUGCCACGGUGUGAAGUGACCGAAUUGCCGAACUUCUCUUGAAUUCGUUCAGGUCUGCAAGUGUGGCCGGUGAGACCCAACUCACUGGGCUGAGCUAGUGGAACAUCGUCGCCUCCAGGGCCAGGAGGUGGUCGCCGAACAAACCCCUUUUCUACCCUCCUUCGGAGUUUCCCAGAACCUCGAUGAAAUGCGGAAUAUAAGUGUGACUUGGCAGAACCAGGUGUCCUUACCCCUGUGAGGAGCGGUGAGGAGAGGAAGAUUGUCAGCUUGGAAAUAUGCAUUCAUGUCACAAUUGGAGUAAGGAGGCAGAAAUGAAGAAAAUUGAAAUACAAACUGACCCUUCCACUGACUUGCCCCGGAUCACACUGUCAAAAGGAAGGAAACAGCUCUGGGCCCACCCGGAUCCAGCUGCGAAGUUCCGGCUCUCUCCACGCAGCCCUGCCGUCUGGCUGAAGGUCCGUGGACAGGAGCCACACGUAUUAUCGGGCUGCCUCACAUUGCGUGCAUUUUUCGUAUGUGUACGCACAUGUCAGCCAGCGCGUUGCUGUGCCUGCUGGGCAUCUGGCCUCCUUUGGAGACUUUUCUCUGCUGUAACGAUAAUUCUUUGCUGCUGGGGUGCCACCAGCCAUGACAGUGAAGGUUGGACCAGGGGUGUGGAUGAGCCUAUCACCAAGAAGGCCUGCUGUGCUCAGAGUUCAGAAGGACCUCUGAGAUUGGACAUGGACUCUAAUAGUCUCCCAAAGACUCCGAGUCCCCACUUACAGUGUCACCGUAGCAAGGAGAUGUACUCAGCGCCGUUUGAGACCAUCUGGCCUCUGAGACAAGCAUUUGGGCCACUAGCCCUUUGAAGAGGUGGCAGUUUUGCAUACCUGAAUGGUCUUAGUUUUUGCACUGGGCAGGCAGAUUGACCAAACCUUCCGGAAGUGGAGGGAAUAAUAAAGAUGAAGGUCUUUGCAACUUUAGGGCCUGUUCUUUCCAAAUCUCUUUUAAGGCUCAUGAAAGCAGAGAGCAACGGGCAGAGAGACUGGGGGAGAAUAAGCUCUUGGCAUGGCUGUCGUGGAGGAAGCCCCAGACUAUGGCUGUGUGACCUUGGGUAUUCUCCACUUCGCCUCUGAGCCCCAGUGUUUUCUUGUAGUGUUUGGCAGUGGUACUGCGCUUUCUUCCUUUCUCCUGUCCCCAGAUGGUGGCUGUGACAAUUAAAUGGGACUAUGUUUAUGACAUUUGAGCAGGGUCCCAACACAGAGAAGGGACUGGGCAAAAGUCAGGAAGCUUGGGUUGUACUUUAGAUCCUUCCCAGAACUCUGAAUCUCCUUUCUCUGGGUCUCCCCUUCUGUAAAAUGAGGGGAUUCAAGUAGGUAAUUUUUUCCUUUAGGGUCUCUUUUGACUCAACAUGCUCUAAUCCUAUCUCUAAGUGGAGCACUAGAAGAAAAUUUUAAGAGAUGAAUGGAUUUUUUGGUAUUUAGCUACUUAGCUGUUCAACAAAUACUUACUAAGGGCUUACCAUGUGUCAGGUGAUGGAGGUAGCACUUGCCUCAUGGACCUUCUAGUCUAGAACAGAUUUUCAGGGCAGCCCCUCCUCUCAGAGAGUUGAAAAAGUGCCAGGGCUCCACGGGGAGCGCCUGUUCACUAAAAGAGACACAUUGAGCAAAUAAAUUAAUGCAGACACUUUAAGGAAGCUCUUGGAGUGACCCUAGAGUUGGGGAACAGUUCCUAGGAGUCAGGAAAGUUUGUGGGAGCUCUGGCCAAGGGUGUGUAUAAUUGCAAAAGAGUUUGUUAAUUGAGACAUCUGAGAAUGUGAGGAUCUGCCCCUACCUGCCUGGUUCUCAAGGGGGUCAUUUACUGGAACAAGGAACAAUGACCGCUUCCCAUGCCUUGUCUUUUCCCUAGAGGUAGAGCCAGGGAAGAUGCUGGAACCCAAAGGGAGAAGAGAAGGGUGACCAGAGAAAAAUGCCAGCCUUAAUAUAACACUUGGGCUAAGCCCAGAGGACCAUGAAUAGUUACAGAAUCUCAUCUGUAUCCCAUCAAGAGAGAAAAGGGCCCAGUUGGAGCACAAGGGCCACUUGAGAGUUGGUCUCAGGGUCAUGGUCAGGAGGCUGCCUGGGGAGGUGGAAAGAACUUGGACUUUAGAGUUGGAGACUGACUUGGAUUUGAAGGCAUGGAACCUUGGGCAAAGGACUGAACCUCUCUGAAACAGCUUUUUAAUCUGUUAAAUACUUCACAGUGUUGACUUCUGGAAGAUGUUAUGAGGUAUAAUAUGUCUUAGGCACCUGGGACUACCUAUCGAUUUGAUGAUUAGUGUUUAUAAUUAUCACAUCACAUGUUAACAGGACCUGGGUCCUGUUUCUGUGCAAUAUUGAAAACCAGUGGUAGAAGCAACUUUGAUGAGAAAUCUUAGAAGCAGUUUGUAUUAUCUUCUUCUUCUUUUUUUUUUUUUUAAGACUUAUCUAUUUAUUUGGGGAGAGCUCACCAGAGGACACACAGGAGCGGUGGAGGGAGUAGGUGGAGGUGGGGGAGAUGGAAAGGGAAAGAGAAUCUCCAUCAAACUCUGUGCUGAGCCUAGAGCCCAACACGGGACUUGAUCUCAAGACCCUGUGGUCAUGACCUGAGCUGAAACUAAGAGAUGCUUAAUUGACUGAGCCACACUGGUGCCCCUGUAUUAUCAUUAAUAUAAGUGAAAUGGUGACUGAACACUGAGUGAAUUGGCAGGGAUUUAUCUCUAGCUUAACUCACCCCUUAACCAGCUAUCUGACCUUAGAUAGGCAUUUUUGCCCUCUUUGAGACUUGGCUUUCUCCUCUGUUAAAUGGGAAUAAUUUUCAUGCUCAACCUUUUCUCAUCCAUCCAUUCAACAUUUACUGAGUGUAUUUAAUGAGCCACACCAUGUUUGGUGCUGAGGACGCCAGAACAAAGCAUCGUCCCUGUCCCUAAGUAGCUCACCAUCUAGUGGGACAGGCCAUUAAGCAAGCACUUACAAUACAGUAGAGACAGGCCUAGCCUUGUCUGGAUGGACAAGAAGGCUUCUUGGAGGAGGUGCCAUCUAAAGCUGAGAGCUGAAGGAUGAAUCUUUUUUAAUCAAGGAAAAAAUAGGAAAGGAAAGCGAGGAGCUAGGAAGAACAUUCUAGGAAGCGGGAAUUGCAUGUGCGGAGGUUAGAAGAUAAAUGGGCACAGCAGAUGCGAUCACGUGGCUGGCUGAGCAUCUGAGCAUGCCUUUCUGCAGCGUGGACUUUGUGUAAAGGCAGUGGGUGACCCCUGAGAUAUCUGAAGUGGGGGAGUUGGAGUAACAUCACUGUAUUUGCAUUUUUAGAAGGAACACUCAGGGUUAUAGGUACAUAUGUCAAGUUAUAUUAUAGAGAGCAGUGGGGGCAAGUUGAUUCUUACCUCCUCCUCUUCCUGAUCCCCUUCCUCCUUCUCUCCCUCCCCACAGGAAGUGAAAUAACCCGCAGGAGCAUGCCCGGUAUGGUGUCUGGCACAUAGUAGGUGUCCAGUUAGCAUUUAUCAUUCCCCUUUUUAAAGUAGUCCUUGAAAGAGAAAUCCCCUGGCAUGGAGUGCCUUUUGGGGUAAAAGUGCUGUGGGCGGGGCUCUUUGUAUUUCUGGCUGCUGUUCCGAGAUAGCUGACGGGAUUUAGGUCAAAGGAAGUUCCCCAGACAGUUCCGUUUCAGCCAGUCAUCUGGGGUUUCAGGGCGGGCAGGUGGAGGUCAAAAUAUCUCCCCGAAUUCCAUGAGGAGCCUAUUCGUCCCCCAGGGUCCUGGUCUUGAAAACUUACCAGGCAUGGGCAAUCCUGCUGAUUUGUUCAAGCUAGCUUCCUCAUCUGUAAAAUGGGUUUGAACUUACCUGUGCUGUAGGGUGUCGUCAGGCGAUCAGAAGAAACAUGUGAACCACAACGAAAUAAUACAAUAGAUUCUACUCACUGAUGCCUACCUUAGGCCAGGCCUUGUUCUUAUGAAGCCGGUAUUAUCACUAACCCUGUUUUACAGAUGAAGAAAUUGAAAUUCAGAGAAAGUAUGCAAAUGACCCAGCACAAAGUAAGUGGCUACAGCCAGAGCUCUAGAGUUUUAACCCCUACACCAUGACAACCAUGAUGUGCUGUCCCUUGAAAACUACCAGCUGCUCCCUGAGCUCUUAGCAUGAUUCAGGUAAUCCAGAAAUGCAUGCAGAAAGGUGGAAGAAGGAAGGAAAAGGGUAGUGUCUGCAAUCUGAGAAAGUCUCUUCUAAUGCCUCCCACCUCUCCCUCCCAGCCAGUUUAGGGUUUUCUCCCAGAAGCACUCUGAGAAAUGGUUCCCUGCCCCAGAUGAAAGUGACCUGUUCCUUGCCUGAUGCCUCACUAGUCUGGGACAGGGUGAAGGUAGGAACCGGGUCUGGGUCAUGGUGGUAUCCCCAGGGCCUAGUACAGUGCCUAGUACUAGAAAAAUAUCUGUGAGUCAGUUCCUUCUGUCACUUGACUGGCUUUUCUGCUCAAGCCUUCCUCUUGGCCAAGAGGUCUAAAGCAAAGGAACUGAGGCUUCAGGGGAAGUUCUUGGAGAUAUUGGGCAUUUGCUGAUGGAGGGCCACGAAGAGGAGAGUGAACCAGCCUUAGGCCAAGCCCCAAACCAGCCUCCCACACUCCCCCUUGGCUGGCUGGACCUAGAGGGCUAAGGCUGCCUUGGACAUCCUACCCACUUUCUCCAUUGGAUUUGACUCUGGAGGGCCAUGCACAAGGCCAAGAUGUCACACCAGGAAUCCCAAGGGCUUGCUCAGUGGACCUGGGUGUGCAAGCCUCAGUACCUGCUGGGUGGCUUGAGCUGCACCCCGCCCCUCCGCCACCCCUCCCCCCCUGUCCCCCGGCCCCCUGUGGUUGGUCGACAAAUCGCAUGAGAACCAGAACAAUCCUCAGGCACAUUGAGCAACCAGCUUCCAUUCCUCG